This 829-nucleotide ribosomal RNA is filed under the name Harringtonia lauricola. Its description in RNAcentral is "Raffaelea lauricola partial large subunit ribosomal RNA". It matches the Rfam family "Eukaryotic large subunit ribosomal RNA", at positions 79 to 931 of the family's 3401-position model. Lineage: Eukaryota; Fungi; Ascomycota; Sordariomycetes; Ophiostomatales; Ophiostomataceae. The record is from RNAcentral.
CCCAGUAACGGCGAGUGAAGCGGCAACAGCUCAAAUUUGAAAUCUGGCCCCCCGCGGGCCCGAGUUGUACUUUGGAGAGGACGCUUCUGGCGCGGCGCCGUCCGAGUUCCCUGGAACGGGACGCCGGAGAGGGUGAGAGCCCCGUACGGGCGGCCGCCUAGCCUCUGCGAAGCUCCUUCGACGAGUCGAGUAGUUUGGGAAUGCUGCUCAAAAUGGGAGGUAAAUUUCUUCUAAAGCUAAAUACCGGCCAGAGACCGAUAGCGCACAAGUAGAGUGAUCGAAAGAUGAAAAGCACUUUGAAAAGAGGGUCAAACAGUACGUGAAAUUGUUGAAAGGGAAGCGCCUGUGGCCAGACUUGCGCCCCGCGGACCACCCGGCGCCUCGCGCGCCGGGGCACGCCAGCGGGGCGCAGGCCAGCAUCGGCUCUCUCGGGGGGACAAAGGCCGCGGGAACGUAGCGCCCUCGCGGCGUAUUAUAGCCCGCGGCGCCAUGCCCCCGGGGGGGCCGAGGACCGCGCUCCGGCAAGGAUGCUGGCGUAAUGGCCACCGGCGACCCGUCUUGAAACACGGACCAAGGAGUCAAGCAUUGGGGCGAGUGUCUGGGUGGCAAGCCCGCACGCGGAAUGAAAGUGAACGCAGGUGGGAGCUUCGGCGCACCACCGACCGAUCCUGAUGUCCUCGGAUGGAUUUGAGUAGGAGCCCCGCCGCUUGGACCCGAAAGAUGGUGAACUAUGCCUGUAUAGGGUGAAGCCAGAGGAAACUCUGGUGGAGGCCCGCAGCGGUUCUGACGUGCAAAUCGAUCGUCAAAUAUGGGCAUGGGGGCGAAAGAC